UGGGGAAUAUUGGACAAUGGGCGAAAGCCUGAUCCAGCAAUGCCGCGUGAGUGAUGAAGGCCCUAGGGUUGUAAAGCUCUUUUACCCGGGAUGAUAAUGACAGUACCGGGAGAAUAAGCUCCGGCUAACUUCGUGCC
This 137-nucleotide ribosomal RNA is filed under the name uncultured bacterium. Its description in RNAcentral is "partial 16S ribosomal RNA". It matches the Rfam family "Bacterial small subunit ribosomal RNA", at positions 355 to 509 of the family's 1533-position model. The record is from RNAcentral.